CAUUCAGUUGGGCACUCUAGCGAGACUGCCGGUAAUAAACCGGAGGAAGGUGGGGAUGGACGUCAAAUCAUCAUGCCCUUAUGACCUGGGCUACACACGUGCUACAAUGGUUGGUACAACGAGUUGCGAGUCGGUGACGGCGAGCUAAUCUCUUAAAGCCAAUCUCAGUUCGGAUUGUAGGCUGCAACUCGCCUACAUGAAGUCGGAAUCGCUAGUAAUCGCGGAUCAGCACGCCGCGGUCGAAUACGUUCCCGGGCCUU
Molecule: ribosomal RNA, 260 nt
Filed under: uncultured Streptococcus sp.
Lineage: Bacteria; Bacillati; Bacillota; Bacilli; Lactobacillales; Streptococcaceae
Description: partial 16S ribosomal RNA
Rfam family: Bacterial small subunit ribosomal RNA
Source: RNAcentral